Molecule: ribosomal RNA, 253 nt
Filed under: uncultured bacterium
Lineage: Bacteria
Description: partial 16S ribosomal RNA
Rfam family: Bacterial small subunit ribosomal RNA
Source: RNAcentral
UACGUAGGUGGCAAGCGUUGUCCGGAAUUAUUGGGCGUAAAGCGCGCGCAGGUGGUUCCUUAAGUCUGAUGUGAAAGCCCACGGCUCAACCGUGGAGGGUCAUUGGAAACUGGGGAGCUUGAGUGCAAAAGAGGAAAGUGGAAUUCCAAGUGUAGUGGUGAAAUGCGUAGAGAUUUGGAGGAACACCAGUGGCGAAGGCGACUUUCUGGUCUGUAACUGACACUGAGGCGCGAAAGCGUGGGGAGCAAACAGG